UACGUAGGGUGCGAGCGUUAAUCGGAAUUACUGGGCGUAAAGCGUGCGCAGGCGGUUGUGCAAGACAGAUGUGAAAUCCCCGGGCUUAACUUGGGAACUGCAUUUGUGACUGCGCGGCUAGAGUGUGUCAGAGGGGGGUGGAAUUCCACGUGUAGCAGUGAAAUGCGUAGAUAUGUGGAGGAAUACCGAUGGCGAAGGCAGCCCCCUGGGAUAACACUGACGCUCAUGCACGAAAGCGUGGGGAGCAAACAGG
Molecule: ribosomal RNA, 253 nt
Filed under: uncultured bacterium
Lineage: Bacteria
Description: partial 16S ribosomal RNA
Rfam family: Bacterial small subunit ribosomal RNA
Source: RNAcentral